GACAUUUUAAGAAGAGGAGGAAUGUUUAAAUUAAUGCCCCUAAAUAGGAAAAAAGUGUUCGCGCAUUGCUACAGACAAUGAUUGAUAGUUCAAUGUCAUUAUUUGAUGAACAGGUUGAAAUAACAUUGGAACCACAAGUGUGGGAUACAAUUUGUCCAGAAGAGGAGGAGGAGACACAGUUAGACGGACCAACUCCACCUGAAUUAAAU
Bombina bombina (fire-bellied toad) is the source of this 209-nucleotide long non-coding RNA. RefSeq lists it as uncharacterized. NCBI's taxonomy places the organism in Eukaryota, Metazoa, Chordata, Amphibia, Anura, Bombinatoridae. The record is from RefSeq and is a predicted model, not a curated record. The transcript is spliced from 3 exons.